AGCAUAUAAUUAUGCGGCUGGGCGUGGCCAGGAGCCAAUUAUGAUGGGGUCGUGGAUAAAAGAGCGGCCCCUCCUACGCCUCCUCCCUCUGUCUCCCGCUGGCGUAAUUUCCGGGACGUCCUGUGUGGCUGCAACAGGUAACUCCGGGGGCCGCGUACGUUUUUGCCAGUUUUGUAUUUGCGGGAGCCUUAACUAUUUCUUGUGCUGUGACAAAGGGGCUGUGGGUGGAUUCUGGCUCCAUGUGGUCUCCUUGUCUGGUGCGUAUCCUCUCUCGUUGUGCUGGAUCUCUCGUUAUCAGUAGUUUAAUGUAGUGUGGUCACAGGUAAAUGCUGGUAGCGGCUCGCUGCUCUUGCCUCGUCUCACUGGUUGCAUGAACAGGUGCUGUACCAUAAGGAUCAAGUCCAUCACCUCCAUUGGCUCCCUUCCGUCUGCAUGACCUCUGCUGCUUUGUCCUGCUUCAAGUUCCUGUCCGUCCGUGUAGCUGUUUCCCGGUUCGGGUUUGGCUGGCUCCGGCGUGCUGCGGUGCUUUGCUGCCGUCCGUCCUAUUGCGCUGGUCGCCCACCUGUGGUUGGGUCGUUCGCCUUCGCCGCGGCUCGUAGCAGCCCGUUCUCGGAUGCCAGCGUCCGCUCUUUUUUAGUGAGGGUUUCGUGACCCCUUUUAUCUGGUUCACACUUUCGGAUUUCGUUUUUCAUUCAAUUCCGAUUGUGUUCAAUUGAUGCUGGCGAUUUGAUUUGUAUUAGCAGUUUUAUCAUUUUAUCUGGUGAUAUUUUAACUUUGUAUAUUUGCUGAUUAUAUUUGGUGCUUUUCUUUUUGUUUCAGGGGCUGACGGCCUGUAGUGGUGUGGGUGAUCGUAGGAGAUCCUCCUGUCUGCUGUGCCGUUUCCAGGGAUGUGGGUCGUUCACGGGUGUGCUCUUUUCACGUGUGUCUGGGGGAACUUUUACUUUGGGGACCCCUCCUUUCGCUUGCCCUAGCUACUUUUAGGCCGAAGCCCUUGAUUAACUUUUGUUUUUGCAUUUUCUUUUGUUUGGAUCCUUUGUAUUAAUAAAAUAUUAUUGUGACUAA
Mugil cephalus (flathead mullet) is the source of this 1062-nucleotide long non-coding RNA. RefSeq lists it as uncharacterized. NCBI's taxonomy places the organism in Eukaryota, Metazoa, Chordata, Actinopteri, Mugiliformes, Mugilidae. The record is from RefSeq and is a predicted model, not a curated record. The transcript has 2 exons.